This 186-nucleotide non-coding RNA is filed under the name Symbiodinium sp. CCMP2430. The record is from RNAcentral. Lineage: Eukaryota; Dinophyceae; Suessiales; Symbiodiniaceae.
UGAAUGAAAAGAACAAACAGGAACAAAACACGAAAUCUUAUGGUCUGGUUCCGUUCUGCUUCUUGUUUUUCCUUUUGGCUUUUAGUUGAAUUCAUGCUUCCUUCACUUCUUUCAUUUCACUUCAUUCGUGCUUUCAUUACAAUGAAGUGAAAUAGAAAGAAAGAAGGAAGGGAAAGACCCAAAGAA